RNAcentral lists this unclassified non-coding RNA (279 nucleotides) under plant metagenome. Its description in RNAcentral is "partial contains small subunit ribosomal RNA, internal transcribed spacer 1, and 5.8S ribosomal RNA". The record is from RNAcentral.
UUUCCGUAGGUGAACCUGCGGAGGGAUCAUUAUUCAAUAACCGAGCUGCGAGGGAUGCCUCUGACCCGCAGCGUCGCUCACGCACGAAUGCGUUCAUUUUCCUUAAUUUCACCUCUCUGUGUACCACCGCCCGGGACCGCCCUUACCAUGAUCGUUGUGUGGUUUCAGUCUUCACCAAAACAUUGAUUGCAGUUUACAAUGUUUUUUUUGUUUUUGCUUUCUCGCAGUCAAUACAACUUUCAACAACGGAUCGCUUGGCUCUCGCAUCGAUGCAGAUCA